Molecule: unclassified non-coding RNA, 345 nt
Filed under: soil metagenome
Description: partial contains 5.8S ribosomal RNA, internal transcribed spacer 2, and large subunit ribosomal RNA
Rfam family: 5.8S ribosomal RNA (bases 1-120)
Source: RNAcentral
GAUGAAGAACGCAGCGAAAUGCGAUAAGUAGUGUGAAUUGCAGAAUUCAGUGAAUCAUCGAGUCUUUGAACGCACAUUGCGCCCCCUGGUAUUCCGGGGGGCAUGCCUGUCCGAGCGUCAUUGCUGCCCUCAAGCACGGCUUGUGUGUUGGGCCUCCGUCCUCCUCCCGGGGGACGGGCCCGAAAGGCAGCGGCGGCACCGCGUCCGGUCCUCGAGCGUAUGGGGCUUCGUCACACGCUCUUGUAGGCCCGGCCGGCGCUUGCCGACACAUCAAUCUUUUUUCCAGGUUGACCUCGGAUCAGGUAGGGAUACCCGCUGAACUUAAGCAUAUCAAUAAGCGGAGGA